Stomoxys calcitrans (stable fly) is the source of this 280-nucleotide long non-coding RNA. RefSeq lists it as uncharacterized. NCBI's taxonomy places the organism in Eukaryota, Metazoa, Arthropoda, Insecta, Diptera, Muscidae. The transcript has 2 exons. The record is from RefSeq and is a predicted model, not a curated record.
CAGCAACCAGGUGCUCGGUUGUAAUGCCUGUGAAGACAAACAAAACAGUUUAUUUGCAAAAUUCUAAAGUGUUGAGUGUUUUUUUUUUUUGUAUUACGGUUUCGAAUAUCAUUUGGUUUUGAAAGCAUCUAAGCUAAAUGCCUGAUUUUAAUCCUUUUUUCCGGCACCGCUUGCCAACUUACCCCAGCUUUCAACGGUUCUGCCAAAAUAUUCCUGUGUCUCAUUGUCAUAGACCAUCUGCUUGAAGGAUUUCUUCUUGGGCCUCUCUGGUGGACGGGCA